AGGAUGAACGUUGGCGGCGUGCCUAACACAUGCAAGUUGAGCGUGGCUUUAGUUUACUAAAGUCUAGCAGCGGACGGCUGAGUAAUGCACGGGAACGUACCUCAGAGUGGGGAAUAGCCCUUCGAAAGAAGGGGUAAUACCGCAUACGCUCGUAAGAGUAAAGCCGCAAGGCGCUUUGAGAACGGCCUGUGUCCUAUCAGGUAGUUGGUGGGGUAAUUGCCUACCAAGCCUAUGACGGGUAACUGGUCUGAGAGGAUGAUCAGUCAGAUCGGGACUGAGACACGGCCCGAACUCCUACGGGAGGCAGCAGUUGGAAUCUUGCGCAAUGGACGAAAGUCUGACGCAGCGACGCCGCGUGGAGGAUGAAGGCCCUAGGGUCGUAAACUCCUUUUGCGGAGGAGUAAUUUUUUGAAAGUACUUCGCGAAUAAGCACCGGCUAACUCCGUGCCAGCAGCCGC
RNAcentral lists this ribosomal RNA (458 nucleotides) under uncultured bacterium. RNAcentral's name for it is "SSU rRNA". It matches the Rfam family "Bacterial small subunit ribosomal RNA", at positions 26 to 518 of the family's 1533-position model. The record is from RNAcentral.